CAUGUUGUUUUCUAGGGUUCCGCAGCGAUUCAGCUGGACUGGUCCGAGAGAAAACCCACAAUGAAACCAAUUGUGACACGGAGGGAUAAAAGCCCGGGAGAU
RNAcentral lists this small RNA (102 nucleotides) under Alkalihalophilus pseudofirmus. RNAcentral's name for it is "Bacillus pseudofirmus Guanidine-I sequence". It matches the Rfam family "Guanidine-I riboswitch aptamer". Rfam says of the family: This family represents a conserved RNA structure found upstream of the ykkC and yxkD genes in Bacillus subtilis and related genes in other bacteria. The function of this family is unclear although it has been suggested that it may function to switch on efflux pumps and detoxification systems in response to harmful environmental molecules. Lineage: Bacteria; Bacillati; Bacillota; Bacilli; Caryophanales; Bacillaceae. RNAcentral also lists the same sequence under 1 other name. The record is from RNAcentral.